GAUGAACGCUAGCGGCGUGCCUAACACAUGCAAGUCGAACGUGAGAGGGUACUUGUAUCCUUGAAAGUGGCGGACGGGUGAGUAAGACGUAGGUGACCUGCCUCGAAGUGGGGGAUAACCAUUGGAAACGAUGGCUAAUACCGCAUAAGCUGGUGACGAUGGGAAUGGUUAUCAGGAAAGCUUUAGUGCUUUGAGAGGGGCCUACGGCCGAUUAGCUAGUUGGUGAGGUAAAGGCUCACCAAGGCGAUGAUCGGUAGCUGGUCUGAGAGGACGAUCAGCCACACGGGAACUGAGACACGGUCCCGACUCUUACGGGGGGCAGCAGUGAGGAAUAUUCGGCAAUGGGGGCAACCCUGACCGAGCAACGCCGCGUGGAGGAUGACGGUUUUCGGAUUGUAAACUCCUUUUCUCAGGGAAGAGCGAGGACGGUACCUGGGGAAUAAGUCACGGCUAACUACGUG
This 461-nucleotide ribosomal RNA is filed under the name uncultured bacterium. RNAcentral's name for it is "bacterial SSU rRNA". It matches the Rfam family "Bacterial small subunit ribosomal RNA", at positions 28 to 507 of the family's 1533-position model. The record is from RNAcentral.